This is a long non-coding RNA of Eucalyptus grandis, 4068 nucleotides long. RefSeq lists it as uncharacterized. The record is from RefSeq and is a predicted model, not a curated record. The transcript is spliced from 6 exons. NCBI's taxonomy places the organism in Eukaryota, Viridiplantae, Streptophyta, Magnoliopsida, Myrtales, Myrtaceae.
GAUUGAGUGCUCAUCAUACUGACAGCCGUCGCUCAGAUCCAAGCACACCUAAAAAGCAAACUUCCCUGAGAGAUAGAGAAGGGAUUUGAUAUCUGUGUUGCUUAGAGCUACUACAACGGAGAAAGGGACGAAUUCACAGGCAUCAACCGUAGCUUCGUAUGAGGUUUUUUGAAGUUUUCGAGGAGUAAACACCCGUUAUGAAUUCACCGAUUAUCUUACCAUGGCAUGGUUUUUCUUGACCGUGGAACCUGCCGAUGUCAAGCUCAAAACAAACUUGUACAGACAGACUCUUUCAAAGCACUAGAAGACGUCGUGCACUGAAGUGGAGUCAUUGGAAUAGGCUCUCAUUGAGGUGGGCAAGAGAAAUGGAUGGAACUGGAAGAAAGAGGAGGGUUAAGGAGAUUUGAUCCAUUCAAUAAUUCGCAUGGUAUCGGUUAAGUAAAGGUUGUAUAUGAAGAUUUGACCGAACAUCUUGUCGGAGUUGAUGAUUGUGUGGGAGCUAUAAUCAAAACGUUGGAUGUGGGAUCCGAUGAUGUACCAUUUCUCAUAAUCCACGGAAUGGGUGGUGUUGGCAAAACAACCCUUGCUAAGGUCAUCUUCUACAAACUAUCUUCUUGCUUUGACCAAUGUUGUUUCCUUGUAGAUGUUCAGGAAUCAUCAAAAAGCAAUGAUGGUCCGGUAAAUUUGCAAAAACAGUUGUUAUCCAAGCUCCUUGGUUCUCAUUCUAUUAACCAAAUUUGUCAUGUGAAUGAUGGGAUCAAAAUGAUUAACAGAGGAAUACUUAGAAAUAAAAAAAAAAAAUACUCAUUAUUCUUGAUGAUAUGGAUAAACAAGAGCAAUUGAAAAGUCUUGCAAAAGAAUGUGAUUGAUUCAGUUCAGUAGCAGGAUUAUCAUAGCUAUGAAGGACAACAAUGUCCUAUAUGAAGGCCCAAAUGUUUUGACUUAUGAAGCACAUGAAAUGGAAUUUGAUCAUGCUCUUAAUCAUUUCAGCAAGCAUGCAUUUAGAAGAGACUAUCCACCAAAUCAUCAUGUCUCCCUUUCUAAAAAAAUUGUCCAUACUUUGGGCAAGCUUCCUUUAGCUCUUAAGAUUACGUGUUCAUUCCUUAUUGGUAAGUCCGACGAAUUAUGGAUCGAUACAUGGGAGAAACUAAAAGAAGCUCCUCCUAUGGAAGUCCAAAGAAACUUGAUGAUAUCUUAUGAAAGGUUAGAUCCAACAUAAAGGGAAAUAUUUCUAGAUAUAGAUUUUAUUUUAUUUUUUGUUAAUGAGGAUAGAAUAUACCCUUUCUAUAUGUGGGAUGCCUAUAAGUACCACCCACACAUUGCCAUUGAUGUCCUCGUUCUCAUGUCCUCGAUAAAAAUCAAAGAUGGCAAUACUUUCUAGAUGCAUAACCAAGUACAGGACUUCGGAAGGGAAAUCGUCCAUCAAGAGAAUUUCAAAUAUCCCGAUAAGCGUAGCAGAGUGUGGAACUAUGAGGAAGCGCUUAACAUUUUGAAGAGGAAAAAGGUAUAAAAAGGGAACAACAAUUUAUUUUCCUGCAAAUUGUUGUUGAGUAUUCUUGCAAAAGGAUAAAUUAACCACUAUUCUUGCUUGAAAUUGUUUGCUUCUGAACUUCACACGUGGACUUCUCAGUGUCAUUGUCAGGAAGUAGGAAAAUGGAAGCACUAUCAGGUACGACCUAGAUAUCAUUUCAUUUAUCAAGAUACUCUCACAUCUGAUGAAUUUGCUGAUUUACCAAAACCUGAGGUUCUUAUGAGGGGAAGUUGGGUCCCUUGUUGGAGAGUUCAAGAAUCUUCUCUCCAAUUUAAAAUGGCUUUCUUGGCAUUGUAGCUAUUCCAAGUUUGAGACAACAAACUUUCAUUUGGCUAAUUUAGUGGUUCUUAACCUUUCACACAGCUGUAAUUUGGAGAAAUGGAUUGGCUAGGACCAAAUCAAAGAGGCCAGAAACAUAAAAGUACUAGAUCUUAGAAUCUGUGAAUACUUAAAGAGAACACCUAAUUUAUCUACGUGGGUGUAUUGGAGAGAUUGGUUCUUGAAGGCUGCAUCAACUUAAUUGAAAUUGACCAUUCCAUUGUCAAAUUAAAGCUUCUAACUAUUUUGAACUUGAAUGGAUAUAAAUUUCUUUGAGAGUUGCCUGAAGAAAUAGGAUGUCUAUAGGCUUUGACAGAUUUUGUUAUGUCUCCCCAAAAGAAGAAUAUCAACGGUUAAUGAUAAGCAAACAAUCAUCCUUAAAAUUGCCAUACUCAAUUGGAGGGCUAGUGAAACUCAAGCGGUUAAAUUUAUCUAGGUGUAUAUACAUAGAGGAACUUCCAAAUUCGAUUGGGAAUUACAAUCAUUAAUCGAGUCGGAUUUGUCAUCGACAAGUACUGGUCACCUACAUGAUUCAAUUGGCAAUUUCAAGCAACUGAAAGUACUAAGGAUGAGUGGCAUAAGAUGGAUGAGAAAAUUACCAAGUGUGGUUGGGUUAGUGGAGAAGUCGAAGAGUUAGAUGCUUAAGAAUGUUGCAACUUGACCGGCAAUCUAACAAAAUUGGGAGAUUGUCCUAUUUAAGGAUCAUCAACUUGUUAGGCACACGUAUGUCCAGAUUACCCACCACGGUGAGUCACCUCUCUAAUCUCCAAACACUUAAAAGCUAAAAAAAUGUCCCGAGCUUAAACAGUUGCCGGAACUACCCCAAGUUUGACUCAUCAGAGAUGGGGCCCAAAAAAUUGCUGUUAUUCCUCCGAAGAGGAGAUGAAAUAUGAGCUGGAGGAAUUUUUCCAGGAGAGACGAAUUGGUACCCUAUCUCAAGAUGAAACCCUUGUCGCCGCUCUUCUCACUAGCAUCGGCAUCUUAUCUCAGUUUAAAACACUAAAAUUGUGCUGCAAAAAUAUGCAAUUCCUCCCCCAACUUCCGUCUAGUUUAAGAGAGUUACAACUUCGUGAUCUGGUCGCCACGCAAUAACCGGAUUUUUCCAAUUUGAAAAACUGAUCAAUAUUGACAUUCUAUGAAUAUUCGCUAGAAUUCUCUAGUAUAUUUGAUGUGGAGUCGGAGGAACUCCGUAUGGAGCGCUGUGAGCUCAAACAACUGGAUGCGCCAUUGCAGCUGGAAAUGAAAAGAUUGAGAUUAUUAUAGAUGGAUGUAUGUGAGUUUUUUUCUAGAAGUACUUAAUCCGUCGGGUAUGAAGAAUCUACACAAGGUAAGUCUGCGACAUUGCCUUUCAUUAGUCGAGACUUGUGGCCUUGAAGAAUUGGGAUCCCUUUACUUCCUAUCAGUCGUUUAUUGCCCUUCCGUGGAGAGGAUAUCGGACCUUUCGAAAUUGAAAAUGCCAUGGGAGCUCAAAGUAAGAUAUUGUUGUGAGCUAAAAAUUGUGCAGGGUCUCAACCACUUGGAAUCUUUAAAGAAGCGGGAAAUUUAUGAUAAUGGAGAGUUUGGGGGAUGACACCUGAAACGCUGCCUCCGCCUCCGCCAUCGUAUCCAGGAGUCCCGUCGGCGGCUUCAAUUCGUCAUUCAUGUUCGACGAGCUCAAAUCUACUACAUUCUUGGACGUAUCGCUGCUGCCUCUGUCGUCGCCAUCGCCUCUAGGAGCCCCAUUGACAUUUGGAAUAUGGCAGCACCUAGUUUCACGCCAGAACUCACACUGACGAUUGUAAAAACCCCACAUUUCAAGGGAAGUUUUUGUUCACAAUUGUUGAAGGGCUUAUGGAGUUGAAUCUUGCAGUGCGGAACAGCAAUAUCCUCACUUUACUUUGACGGCAGUGGAAAGCUCCGUAAGGUUUCUCAAAGCUUUGGGAAUACAACUUGGCCUCUUCAGACUAAAAAAUGAGCAGGUAUUCGGAUCGGACAGCUGAGGAUGAUUCCGUCAGGAGCGGGAGCAAUUAGAGUGGGCCAUGGGGGAAGAUGAAGGCCCGGAUCGACGCAUGCCUAGAUGCUAACAGGUGUACCAAUUAAUUGGGAAGAGGUACUUCAAUUUUUUUCCGUCAAAACGACAUGUAUAUUACACGGACAAUUCAAAUUGACUGAUUACACCAUGCCAAUUUUGUGAUCGCCGCAUAAAAUACAUUUUAGUAAUAAAAGGGUAAUUUAGCAUC